Non-coding RNA from Camelina sativa (false flax), 1083 nucleotides. The record is from RefSeq and is a predicted model, not a curated record. Lineage: Eukaryota; Viridiplantae; Streptophyta; Magnoliopsida; Brassicales; Brassicaceae.
CUCAAUAAUUGAGUGAAAGCAAAAAUCUUGCGCGUGUUUUUUUUGCUGGCUUUCUUCUUUCUCUCAAUAUCUCCGCCGUGAAUCGCUACUCUCUCUAUGGCUUAUCUCGAUGUUCGUCAGACUGAGGAUGACAUAAUGGAAUUUGUGAAAAUCCUGGUGGUUGUUGCGGGUGGAUUGGGUUGUGAGCUUCUCAAGGACUUGGCUCUUUUAGGUUUUCGUAAUCUCGAUGUGAUUGAUAUGGACCGUAUCGAGGUUACUAAUCUCAAUCGCCAGUUUCCCUUCCUUCUUUGUCUCUACUAGGGUUUUACCACUAGAAAAAACCCUCAAAAUUGAAGUUUGUUUUUGACCAUGAAAUUGUUCCUUGUGUGUGGUAAUCUCAGUAAGAUAGUUACAAGAUUGUUUGGUUUAUAAUGUUGGUGUCUUGUAUAGACUUGAAGACGUGUGAAAGCCUAAGGCAGGGGUAGCAGCUAGCUAAGCGUUUCAUGGAGAGAGUGAGCGGGGUUGAGAUUCUGCCGCAUUUUUCACGUAUUGAAGACAAAGGAGGUUUGAGUUUUAUAAAGAUUUUAACAUCAUUGCCCUUGGUCUUGAUUCAAUCGAAGCUCAUUGCAUUGAAUAUGCUCAUUUAAUUAAGUGGGAUGAGGUUCACAAUGGAAAAUCCUUUGAUCCUCAUAUCCGAACAUAUGAAGUGGGUCUAGGAUGAGGUUUAACCAUUCUUUUGCUUGUUUUAUGCCUAUGGCCUAUGGGUUUUAAUUUGGGUUUAUUUCAUAUUUGCCAUUAUCUUCAAAGGCUAUCAGGAAAGCUGAGCUUGCUUUUUUGGAAAUCCGGAUGUCACAUACUCUUUUACACAAGUAUGUGUAACCAUUCUCACUUUCUCUGUCUGUUUACUUUCUAAAAUUUUCCAGUAACCGGCUGAACUACUACUACUUUGUAGUUCUGAUGAAAUAAAUACUCUUGUACUUAUUACCAUUGUGUCAUGGUUUAUCUGGCUUGUACUCUGUCUUUGUCAUGGCUUAUAUACUUUGUUUGUGUCAUGGUGUGUAAAACAAAUUCUCUUAAUGCUAAGAAAUUUGCUUUUUAGAACUU